Haliotis rufescens (red abalone) is the source of this 2491-nucleotide long non-coding RNA. RefSeq lists it as uncharacterized. NCBI's taxonomy places the organism in Eukaryota, Metazoa, Mollusca, Gastropoda, Lepetellida, Haliotidae. The record is from RefSeq and is a predicted model, not a curated record. The transcript has 2 exons.
AACAUUUCAGGCUGUCAGCAUAAACCACGGAAUUUAUCUUUCAACUGUUUUUUUCACCAAAAUAAUAUUCUAAUAAGAGCCCCCUAUUUCUAAUUUUGAGAGCGCCCUGGGCGCUUAUUACGUAGAAUACGGUAUACAUGAUAGGUCAAUGGAGUUAUAGAAAAAAUCAAACUAUAAAAUGACAGAUAUUUUUUUGUACCUUUUUUAUUUGACAAACAUGAUAGGUCAACAUUUCAAUACAUGAUCUGUGUGUGCACUGUUCCAUUAAGAUGGAAGAUUGUAAUACAAAGAUUAUUUAAGAGUUUUGCAUCACUUAUGAGAUGUCUAUAUCACCAAUAUUUACAAUGCUGUUAAAUUCAAGUGAAUCUUUUCCUGUAUUGGAAUUUUGUGAAGAUAUAUAGCAGCGGCAGUUUGUCCCCCUGAUAUGCUGGUAACACUCGUGCCCUGUGAUACUCCGCGGAUGUACAUACUGUACAGACACUAGGACUGUGGCCACAGUAUUUAUCUGUCAUGUAUAUAAGUCAAGUCAGUUGUACAUUCUGUGCAUAUCUGUUGACACUGAUCGUUUUAAGUGCUAUUGAAUAUAGUGGAAAAUAGUAAUAUAAUUUUCAGUUGAUUAUGUGAGUAUUUAUUUGUUUGCAUAUCCCUGGUUGUUGAAUUUUGGAUAUUUCUUACAUGUUUUCCUAACUACUUUAUUUUGUGAGUUUAUCGAUCAUUUAGAAUCGUAGAAUCUUCCUAGAUCAGUUAAUGCGUAGCGCUUCUGUUUGAUGGCACAGCAUGGAAAUCAUGAUUUGUAAGAACUGAAAAUGUCAGCUGGAGAACUGGCAGUAGUAAGGUAGGUUCUAUAAAACACAAACAGAUGAAACAUCACGGAAAAAAGUAGCUGUAAAUCCAUGGUUGUGGAUUGUUUUUUUGUGAAUGAACAGACCUGACUAAGUAAUGGCUGUGUAUGGCUGAAACAUGUUCACUCAUCUGUUAUAUGUAUUUAGCUUGCAAUUGUUGAUGUAAGAUCAUGUUAUACAUCACUGAUAAAGAAUAAGAAUAAUGCCCUGUUUGUUUCCUAGAUGUACAGACAGGUACACAUAAAUGCAUGCGCUCUCUUUCGCUCUCUCUCUCUCUCUCUCUCUCACACACACACACACACACACACACACACACACACACACAGAGGCUAAGGCACACUCAGACAAUACGCACAGAUGGAGGCACACAGAAAGUGGAAGGGAGACACACACAGGGCAAUGUACACACAGAGACACACAUAUAGGUACACACACAGAUAAAGGUACACACUAACAGAUGAAGGUACCGGUACACACACACAGAUGAAGGUUCACACACUGAGACACAAAGGGGUUCACACACAUAUAGGUACACACACAGAUAAAGGUACACACUAACAGAUGAAGGUACCGGUACACACACACAGAUGAAGGUUCACACAUAGAGACACACAGGGGUUCACACACAUAUAGGUACACACACAGAUAAAGGUACACACUAACAGAUGAAGGUUCACACACACAGAUGAAGGUUCACACACAGACACACAGGGGUUCACACACAUAUAGGUACACACACACCCAGAGACACAGAUAAUGGUACACACACAUACACAGAUAAAGGUAGAGACACACAGAUGAAGGUACACACACACAUACAUACACACACAGAGAUGAAGAGAUACACACAGAGAGACACACAGAUGAAGGUACACACACACACAGAUGAAUCUACACACACAGAGACACACACACGCAGAUGAAGGUACUCUCACACAAAGAUGUAUGAGCGUGACACCAAAGCGUUAAUGUUUUAAAUUAAAGAACAGAAACAUCCGCAUAACUAAGACAACAGUUGACAUAAUAUGUUACAUAGUUAUAUAUGUUGCGGAGGUCUGUGAAGCAGUUGAACAUCUAUUUUGAUAAGAUUCAGCAUUUCCAUUUAAAAAAUGGAGUAUCAAUCAAACUGUUUGCAUAUGUUAUGUGCAUUUGACCAGUGUCAGUGUACCUUAUCAGAGUGAUGUGGCAUUGAGUUGCUCUGUAUGCUUGAUUUCUUGAUAGCUGAAACAAAGUCUGAGGUACAUUUUGAGCUGUCAUUUCUCACAAUCAAACAGUUAAAACCAAAUAUUUAAAACCUGUGACAGUAUAUUGGAGCUUGAUUGUGAUGUAAGCUGCCAACAAUCAAGUUAUGCAUGAACGUCAAAAGUAUUGAAUAAUUGUUCUUUUCAGUAAGAUAGUGUUCAUCAAGUAUGUCAGCUGUAAAUGUUAUGUUUUGUUAUUUGAUGCGCUCAAACUCUGAGAUUGUGUUCUAUUGUCCUCAUUUCGUAAUCUGAUAUGAUAUUAUGCCCAUGCAGACCGAGUUAUUCUGUGCCUUCUGUUUGAGUGGUGUAUCUGUUGACUGUGAAGCUAGGUUGUCCUGUACGCUCUCUGUGCACUGUACACUGUACAUAUUGCUCAACUGUGUCUUUUGUAAAAGAUUAUGACAUCCA